Molecule: ribosomal RNA, 253 nt
Filed under: uncultured bacterium
Lineage: Bacteria
Description: partial 16S ribosomal RNA
Rfam family: Bacterial small subunit ribosomal RNA
Source: RNAcentral
UGCGUAGGGGGCAAGCGUUGUCCGGAUUUAUUGGGCGUCAAGAGCGUGUAGGCGGCCAGGUAGGUCGGUUGUGAACACUGGAGGCUUAACCUCCAGACGUCGACCGAAACCAUCUGGCUAGAGUCCGGAAGAGGAGAGUGGAAUUCCUGGUGUAGCGGUGAAAUGCGCAGAGAUCAGGAAGAACACCCGUGGCUAAGGCGGCUCUCUAGUACGGUACUGACGCUGAGACGCGAAAGCGUGGGGAGCGAACAGG